Long non-coding RNA from Olea europaea var. sylvestris, 347 nucleotides. RefSeq lists it as uncharacterized. The record is from RefSeq and is a predicted model, not a curated record. NCBI's taxonomy places the organism in Eukaryota, Viridiplantae, Streptophyta, Magnoliopsida, Lamiales, Oleaceae. The transcript is spliced from 2 exons.
UUUGACUUUAUCAAAUCAAAGUUUUGGUUUAUCUACUACUCUAGCCUACACCUAUAAAUACUAGGCAAGGAUUUCAUAUUUUACCACACCAAAAAAUAUUCACACGUGAAAGAGAGAGAAGAAAGAGAGAGAGAGAGAGAGAGAAAGAGGAAAGAGUGUGUGAAAACAGAAAUUUGUCAUACAUCAACUAUCACUGUCGAUCAAUAAAUCGUUCACAGAGUAGAGGAAGGAAUUUUGGAACGUGCAUUCAAAUAUUUUUCGUGUACAUUUCGAUAACAAGAUUAGUUCGGGUCGAUAGGAACAGUGGAGAAUUGGUGAUGCGGACUGCCAAGUGGAUAAAGAAUAGA